RNAcentral lists this unclassified non-coding RNA (425 nucleotides) under soil metagenome. RNAcentral's name for it is "partial contains 5.8S ribosomal RNA, internal transcribed spacer 2, and large subunit ribosomal RNA". The stretch from base 1 to 120 matches the Rfam family "5.8S ribosomal RNA", at positions 35 to 154 of the family's 154-position model. The record is from RNAcentral.
GAUGAAGAACGUAGCGAAAUGCGAUAAGUAGUGUGAAUUGCAGAAUUCCGUGAAUCAUCGAAUCUUUGAACGCACAUUGCGCCUUCUGGUAUUCCGGAAGGCAUGCCUGUUCGAGAGUCAUUAUCAACCGUUUCGAUCCCUUUCUUUCAGAAAUUACAAAGAGGAAAAGGGUUUGGUUAUGGUGGAGGAGGGAAAGGGAGCGUUUAGCCUGUAAAAAAAGAGGCUGUGUUCCGCCUCCCCCCCAAAAUUGUACAGGCGGUCGUGUGCGCCCACGCAUCGAGGUGUUGUAAAAGCUGCCACGGCACUUUUCACCUGUGCAGUGCGAGAUUGGCCAGCCGGUUUAAAAACCCCUCCAAACAAUCAAAGGUUGACCUCGGAUCAGGUAGGGAUACCCGCUGAACUUAAGCAUAUCAAUAAGCGGAGGA